Monodelphis domestica (gray short-tailed opossum) is the source of this 5695-nucleotide long non-coding RNA. RefSeq lists it as uncharacterized. The record is from RefSeq and is a predicted model, not a curated record. NCBI's taxonomy places the organism in Eukaryota, Metazoa, Chordata, Mammalia, Didelphimorphia, Didelphidae.
GAUGUUAUGAUUCUAUAUCAUCUACAUCUAUAUUCUCUUUGCUAAGUCAUAACUUGGUAACCAGUCAUAUACUUUGGAACAUUCAUCCUCUUAGCUGUUCCCAUCCAGGUAGCCCAACUGGGUGAACCUCAAAUUCCAUUUGUGUGUGCUCUGGAGAAAAACCUCCAUUCUCAUAAUUGCCUGCAUCCUGCCCUUGAGAGAGGAAAACCCUGGACAAAGAGCAGGAAUUCCUACUUCACACCUUGGGGAAUAAUAUUCAGUAACUCCUUACCCAGAGAGGUAGAUCAAGCGGAAACUAUGAACAUCUGGGAAAAAAGGUUCAGAUGAGUUCAUGGCUGCCUAAGCUAAAAUGAGUCAUUCAAGGAAACAAGGCUGGGCAAGCCUGGCCUUUGAAGAGACUGUAAGGGAUUUAAUCAAGGAAAGGAAAAAGGGAAAUUAUACAAGAAAGCAUAACAUCUGUCAGACCAGGAUUGUAUCCAUCGCCCUCUACUGACAAAGGAGUCACCCAAUACUGAAAAUUGGUUUCAAUUUCUUCAGUGGCAAAGCUUGGGAUUUGAAUCACAACUAUUCCUAGACUAGCCUGGGAAUUAAUAUGUCUUGUUACUAGACCUGUCUCUGUCUCCAGUGUGACAUUGGGGAUUCAGAAUCACUUCAAUCAAAACUUCCAUUAAGUCUUGACAGCUUUGAGUGUGGAAUAUGUUGACAAGAUCAGAGCCAUUAAUAAUGGGCUGGCCCAAGCUCCCAGAUCCAUGAUUCAAAGAUGUUUGUGUGGAUGAAUAAUACACUCUGGGCUCAUCUAAUUUUUCAAGUUUAAUGCCACAUACUAUACUGCAGUUUAUUUGUGCCAGCAUUUUUCUUGAUGCCAAUUCAUGAGGAUUCCAGAAAUAUAUUUGAUGGAAAGUUUCCAAGGGGACUUGGUGUUAUUUGCUACAAAGGUUCAUUGGUCUUCGGUCUGGGAAGAAACAUUCAUCACCGCUAGUUCAGGGAAGAGACAAUACAAUUCCCACUCCCUUGAGUCUCUCCCUGAUCUGCCUGACUGCCUGGAUUGCCUUUUUCUGGAGGAGAGCACAUCUCAUCUAGGUAAAUCACAAGUUUGUUGUAUCUUCUCCCUAAUGAUCUUCCCACUCUGGAGAUGCCUUCACCCCUGUGUUUCUCCUCUCAGAAUGGCCAGUUCCUUGCUGGGAGCAUCUCAGGAGGUAUGACUCAUGCCAUUUGUACUCUUCUCUUUCCUGACUCUACUCCUAACUUUUUGGACUUUUCUAUUUCCUUGUCAAUAAACAACUUUCCAAGCCUCAUGUGAGCUCUUCCAACUAUUUCCAGUUCCUUUUAAUGGAUUGUUUCCCUGCCAUUAAAACAUAAACCUGUUGAGGGCUGAUUCUGGCUUUUUUGCUUUACAUUUAUUUUCCAAACCCUUAGCACAUUGCCUAGAAUAGAGUAAGCAAUAGAAUUGUGAUUCUGACUCCACAUUCAUUGUUCUUCCUACUCUAAGACAGAUUCAGCAUGAACAGAGCAUUGGGUAAGAGACACUGAAGCCACCCCAAAAGCGACAGUGUAUAUUAACAUUGCUUUCAACAUCAGGACAAAUUAUAGAACACAGACUCUUUUUGUUAAGAAAGGAACUAGAAUCUAUUCACGACACCCAUUAAUUAUGGUAGCAGCAGCAAACAAACAAGUAUUAUUUGUUUGUUUGUUUUUUCUGUUCAAUUCCUUGGAAUGGAGAAGGAAAGAGGAUGGUUUCCUUAACUAAGGUUUCUUUUAGAAUUUUACAGUCUCAGGGUCACAAAGGAUCUUAGAAAGCAUUCAUUCAAGAUAUUGCCUCUAUGGCUUCUUCAAAGGAAUUAUCCCACCUCUAUUUAAACACCUUUUAGGAUGGAGAAAUCCUGACUUAAUGAAUCACCCCAACUGCUACUGAAGAGCUCUCAUUAUUGGAAAGUUUUUCCUAAUAACAAUGUGGUCUAUCUUCCUUUUACCUCUAUUGUCCUUUCCCCUAUUGAUCCUAAUUCUGCCCUCUGAGAUCAUUGACAGCAACCAGACUCCAUCUUCUACUCAACAACCCUUCAGCUGCCUUGUAGGUAGAAGGGAAUUUUGAGAUUAGGUAGGUCAACAGCCUCAUUUUUUUAAUACAGAGAUCAUUUCCCCUCUAAGUAUUUUAUUCAGGCUAAAAAUCCCCAAGUGCUAUGCAGUACCCCUUACAGCCUACUUCCUUGUAAGUCACAGUAGCUGGAUGGGUCCCCCAGGGGAUGAAUCCCAGGGUCAAGUUCCCCUCUCUUCCAAGCUUCUAAAAUGACCUGCACACUAUUGCCAUCUGGGUCCUCAAAAUAUUCCAAGGCUUGGGAUGGGGAGGGAAAGGGAUGCCAACUGUUGUCAAGGGUCGAUGGGCUAUUUUGUAGAAGAGGAAUUCAUCGGACUUACUCUGUCUGGCCCCUGCAGCACAGAACCAAGAGCAAUGGAGGGACGUGACCAAAAGUUAUAUUUAGGCUGAAAUAAAUUAGAGUAGCUUACAAAUGGCACCUAAGCUGCCAUAAGUGGUAAUGAGCUUCCUCUCUGCAAAUGUCUUCAAUCAGAGGCUAAAGAACCACGUAGGAUGAUAGAAUCAUAGAUUGAGAGGUAGAUGGGACUUCAGAGGUCUUCAAGUCCAGUUCGCUCAUUUUACAGAUCAAGAAGGCGAGGCUGAAAGUGGUUAAGUGAUUUGCCCAGGGUCCUGCAAUUAUUAGCAUCUAAACCCAAGUCAUCCUCAUUCCAAGUCUCGAGCUCUAAACAUUGUACUACCUAGCUGCCUCACUAGUGGGAAUUCCUUUCACGUAUGAGUUGGAGUAGACAACUGUUGAGGGUUUCCAACUCUCACAACCUGGAAAUCUGUGUCUAGAAUGAUGAGACUUGACCAGAUGACAUUUGGAACUUUGUGAGGUACUUACAAUUUUGAUCUUUCUCAUGAAGAAUUGUUGUUUUUAAGAUUAAUACCUUCUUGGGGAUGCUUUAUGCCUAUGAAUGAUAGAACAUCAUCAUCUCUGAGGAAUCUCAGUGACUGGUGACCCAGAGGGCAAUGGAACUGUACAUGGCAUGUGUAAGCUGAUGACAGCAAAUUUACUGAUAAUGGCAUGCGAAAGAAGUGGCCAAAAAGACAUCAUCAAGGGCAUGAAUCACCAGAAAAAUUGAUGGGGGGUAAAAUGGAGACCACUAGAGUACUACAACCACCAGGAUAUUAAGAAAUCAGAGGAAUACCUACAUAUAGCACAAUGAGGCUCCUAGGUAGUUUGGAGAUAGAGUGUGAGGCUUGGAGUCACAAAGACAUGAGUUGAAAACAGUCCCAAGGCACCAGCUGUAAAACCCUAGAGAAGUCACGUAUUCUGCCUUAAUUUCUUUCAUUGUAAAAUGGGAUAAAAAAGCAUCUACCUCUCAAAAUUGUUGGGAGGCUCAAAUGAGAUAAUGCUUAUAAAACAUUUAGGACAAUGACUGGCAUAUAGAAGAUGCUGUGCAGAUGGAAAUUUUGCCACACCUGAGUUACAGUCUCAGCAUCCUUUUAAGUUAUGUCCUCUUUUUACAUAAGGAUGCUUGGGAGAUAAAUUUGUCUGAGACCCAUGCUGUGAGGCUCUUUUUUUAGAGCUUGUGCUUUUGGUAAAGAGCUGCAGGUGUGCGUCUCUGGCUCUCUUUGCUCUGCUCACUUGACUGAAAGAACCCUUUUUCUUUUCCUUCUCUUUAAAUUAUUAUUAAAAUACUACAAUGCUUAAUAAAUGCUUAUUUCUGUUAUUGCUAUGUCAAAUGCCAUAAGGAAACACUAAGGUGAUAUUUUGCACUAGAUGGGCUGCGAUCCCUCUCAGAGGAGGGAGCACCCUGACCCUUGAGAUUGUAGAUCACAUCAGGAUCUCUUCUGAUCAUAUGGAGCUGCUAAAUUUGCACAGUAUCUCCCUUACUAUUUCUUAGAACGCCUUGAUUUUUACCAUCAGAGACUCAUAUCUUUUUCUUAAAGUAUUGCCUGGUCCUGCAAUUACCUUCUGAACUGCAAAUUCCUAGUACAGAACUCUGCAUCAAGUUCUCAUCUUUCCUCUCUCCUGAAUUCGAAUCACUUAAUACAAACUACUCACUCAGGUUCUCUCCCUAGAUGAUCUAGGGACAGCAUGUCCAAAAUAGAACUCAUUACAUUUUCCAAUUCCUCUUUUCUCUAUCUUUCACAUUAUUGGUAAAUUGAUCUUUCUAAACCAUAGUGAUGACCAUGUCACCUCCUGCUCAAAAACCUUUGGUUUCUCUUUCCCUGCUUGCCCACAUAAUAGAUAUAAACUCCAUAAUCAUGGGUUUUAAGCAUUCAAUAAUAUGGCUUUCACCUACCUUCCUGAUAUUAUUUUGUAUUACUUCCAAUUUAUUCUUGCUUUUUCAGUCAAAGAGGCAUGCUAGCUAUUUGCUGUAUAUACUAUUAUAUCUCUUUUAUCUCUGUGCUUUUAAUGGGUUCCCCAUUUCUGAUCUCUAUCUCCAUGCCACCCCACCACCACAAUCUAGAAAGCACCCUCUCCUUACCUCUUUAAAGCACAAGUUAGGCAUCACCUCCUCCCUAAGACCUUUUUUGGUUCCUCCAGUUAUUAAUGUCCAGGAUUUGCCAUCUGUGUUGGCAAAAGGAAUUCCCACACUAGGAGUUCUGGUACUGAGGAAAUUAUAGAUCCUUCCCAUAACUGAAGUGCUAAAUAAAGACACCUAUUAUGAUUACCAUCAUUGUUAGUAUUAUUGUUCCUCUAGUCUAAACUUCUAUUCUUCAAGACUAAGAUCUUAACCUUUGGCAGGGUAAAAGAAUAUGAUAAAUGAAUUAAUACUUAGGUAAAUUUGUAGCUCAUUACAAGUUCCUCCUUGGAGAAAUUUGUGUGUUUUUGUGUGUCAGAAGAAGGCUGGACCCAGUAAUGGUUUAAUACAAAUGAUUUAGAAAAUGGUAGAAUCCUAGGCAUUGGGGGAGUUACUAUGAGGGAAGUGUGGUCGCAAAGGCAACUAAUCUGUCCUUAAAAUUAUAUAUUCCUGGAAUAUUUUUUAAGGUAAGAGUUCUUAACCUAAAGUCCAUAAGGCCCCCAUCCCUAAAGUAUUCAUAGCUAGAUUUCAGGGUGUGAAUGAAUUUAGAUGGGAAAAAUUGUUCCAUAUAAAUGACUUACUUUAUAAUUCUAUAUAUUUUAUUUUAUUUUAUAUAUUUAAGACAUUAUUCUGAGAAAGGGUCUAUAGGCUUGACAUGUAUGCCAAGGGUUAAGGACCAUUUAUUUAAGAUUCUUCCAGUUAAAAAAUAAUUAAAUUUAUUUUUCUUGACCUCUGAGGGACUUCAUAAUUCAGAAUGUUAGUGCUGGAAGGGUUGUAGAACAUGGGCUAUUAGAGCUGGAAAUGAUCCUUAGUCACUUUAGUCCUAUUCCCUCAUUUCACAGAUGAAGAACCUGAAUGACAAAGAUAGGCAGUUAUUUCUACCAUGGUGUGGUAGGGCGAGGAUGGUUUCAUAUUAUACCCCCAGGGCCUGAUACUUUGCCUGACACAUAAUAGGUUCUUAAUAAAUGUCCAUUGAUUAAAUGCCUUGCCAAAAGUCGUAUUUUGAGUGGAUGGAAAAUAAAGGAUUAGGAUCCAGGAAUCAUUGACUUUCCUUCAAUUCAGUUUUUUUUCCAUAACUAUUAGUCUAGCCCUGGCUAUGUGUGGGCAAGGGAAGGAUGUGGAGGGAAAGGAAGGGCAGAUUUAUAGUUGU